UACAGAGGGUGCGAGCGUUGUUCGGAGUUACUGGGCGUAAAGCGCGCGCAGGCGGCCCUUUAAGUCCGCUGGUGAAAGACCGGGGCUCAACCCCGUUGCCAGCCAGGGAUACUGGAGGGCUGGAGACAGGUAGAGGCAAGCGGAAUUCCGGGUGUAGCGGUGGAAUGCGUAGAUAUCCGGAAGAACACCGGAGGCGAAGGCGGCUUGCUGGACCUGGUCUGACGCUGAGGCGCGAAAGCGUGGGGAGCGAACAGG
This 255-nucleotide ribosomal RNA is filed under the name uncultured bacterium. RNAcentral's name for it is "partial 16S ribosomal RNA". It matches the Rfam family "Bacterial small subunit ribosomal RNA", at positions 524 to 776 of the family's 1533-position model. The record is from RNAcentral.